GUGAAUCAUCAAAUUUUUGAACGCAAAUUGCACUCCCUGGUAUUCCGGAGAGUAUGCCUGUUUGAGGAUCAGUUUACAUCAAAAUCGGUGUGGUUGAUGCCUUUCGUGGUGACGUACCGGAUUUGGGUCGUAUUGCCUUCGGUUAAGUGACCUAAAAUUUUGCAUGAUUUUUCGAACGUAUUUAAAUGACUUUACGUACGUUUGAGAUAUCGACUACUAGGAGUGGUAAUCCUCAUGAUUCGCGCAUAUAAUCUUUCAUCAAAAUGACCUAAAAUCAGGUAAGUGUAUCUGCUGAACUUAA
RNAcentral lists this unclassified non-coding RNA (301 nucleotides) under Glomus sp. RNAcentral's name for it is "partial contains 5.8S ribosomal RNA, internal transcribed spacer 2, and large subunit ribosomal RNA". The stretch from base 1 to 71 matches the Rfam family "5.8S ribosomal RNA", at positions 84 to 154 of the family's 154-position model. Lineage: Eukaryota; Fungi; Glomeromycota; Glomeromycetes; Glomerales; Glomeraceae. The record is from RNAcentral.